RNAcentral lists this long non-coding RNA (1669 nucleotides) under Marmota monax (woodchuck). The record is from RNAcentral. Lineage: Eukaryota; Metazoa; Chordata; Mammalia; Rodentia; Sciuridae.
CAACCGCCCGAGGAGAGAGGUGACCUUUGGCUCUCAACUGACUGGCUGAUGGCUGCUCCCUGCAGGUGCAAGUGCUCACACAGGAAAAGCCCAUGACAAUUCCUAACCCCAGCCCACCUCGCCCCUCGCCUUCUCUCUUUUGGGAGCCAAGCCAUUUUGGCCUCCAUUCUCCUUCGGGUGACCCUGGUGACAGCCUCUCCGGGAGCUCGUCCUCCUGGUUUGAUUUCUGAGCUUCCGUCAGUGGCGCUCUGUCAACCCCAGCUGCCGGGGGGCUCGAGCCCAGAGCCCGCUACUCCGCCUGACCCGCUCCACCUCAUGGCAGGCAUGGUCUGCAAACUCCUGGUCAGAGGAGCCUGGUGGCCUUCCCUGUUGGGAUCCUGUCCCCUUCCACGCCUUUGCUUCCUGCUGUGCACGUCUCUGAGAGUGGCGUUCCCUGCCACCCCGCAGUGACCCCAAGCAGGGUUGAGCCCCAGUUGCCCAUGAAGGUGACCUGGUCAUUCAUGUCCCCUCAGGCUUCCUCCCUGUCUCUCUCUCCCACUCCCUUACGGGUGCCUGCUGGGGUCAUUUUCCUGACAGACUGGUUGCACCCCAGUCCUUGUUUCAGAGUUGGCUCCUGGAGGAGGCAGCCUGCCACACUGAGGCCUGCAGGGCUCAGAUACGACAGAGCAGUGUGGCCACGAGGCCUGUGCCUCACUGGGGUCCUGUCCUCACUCGAGCCACAUAGCCACUGGCAAUGUCCCCGUUGCCAGAGACAUUCCUGCUGAGGAAGUCCUUACACACCUCGGUCCUGGUCCUGGCCAGUGGGUGUGGAAGUUAGGGGUUUGGGUUUGCAGGGGGGAGCCCUGAGUUCCAGGCCCCAGCUGCACCUGUCUCUGUGGCCCCUCUUACGUCACAGCCUUCCUGGACCUUCAGUUUCCUGUUCAGUAGGAUGGGGGUGGUCGCCCCUGCCUGCUGGGUCCUACGGAGGACCCAUUUACUCCAUCAUCCAACACUUAGGGAGCUCUGUGCUGGGGCCAUUGCUCCAGGGGACUGAAAGGGCACCCAGGAGAGGCCAAGCACAUAGUAAACGCUCAGUUAAUGGUGCUGCUGACACACAGGGGCCCUUCCCUGCCCAUCUCUCUGGUCUUGGUGUAGGAACACAGGCCCUUGACUUCCUGGGACUUUCAAAGCCUUUCAACAUUGACUGUCCCUGGCUCGGUGGAGGGUCAGUGGCUCAGAGAAGAUCACCUGAUCCGUAUCGUUGGCCCCUCUGUGGGCACUGGUUUCCUUCAGUCAGCAGAUCUCACAUUACAUAAACAAGCCGGCAUUGGUGACUCAGCACAGCACAGUGUGUGUGACACCCGGUACCUCCUUGCUCACACACCAGGGUCGGGGAGCGACUUGGCAAAUGAGGCCACGUGAGGGGCAGUUGCCAGGCAGCUAAGUGUGGCACUCUGGAACCAUCAUCCUGGCUCCCCAGUUGCUGUCCGGCUUUGGACAAGCACCUCACCCUUUCUGUGCCUUGGUUUCCUUACCUGGAUCUCAGGGAUUUAUUGUCACAUGUUGUAUUUCUGGAGUCAGACAGCUAAAGCAUGGAUCCUGUUUUUUCCACUUAUUUGCUGUGUAACCUUAACCAGUAUCCUAGCCUCUCUGUGCCUCCUUCUGUAAAAUGGGAGCAAUGACAUUAGUG